Molecule: ribosomal RNA, 758 nt
Filed under: uncultured bacterium
Lineage: Bacteria
Description: bacterial SSU rRNA
Rfam family: Bacterial small subunit ribosomal RNA
Source: RNAcentral
GAUGAACGCUAGCUACAGGCUUAACACAUGCAAGUCGAGGGGCAUCAGGAAGAAAGCUUGCUUUCUUUGCUGGCGACCGGCGCACGGGUGAGUAACACGUAUCCAACCUGCCCUUUACUCGGGGAUAGCCUUUCGAAAGAAAGAUUAAUACCCGAUAGCAUAAUGAUUCCGCAUGGUUUCAUUAUUAAAGGAUUCCGGUAAAGGAUGGGGAUGCGUUCCAUUAGGUUGUUGGUGAGGUAACGGCCCACCAAGCCUUCGAUGGAUAGGGGUUCUGAGAGGAAGGUCCCCCACAUUGGAACUGAGACACGGUCCAAACUCCUACGGGAGGCAGCAGUGAGGAAUAUUGGUCAAUGGGCGUUAGCCUGAACCAGCCAAGUAGCGUGAAGUAUGAAGGCUCUAUGGGUCGUAAACUUCUUUUAUAUAAGAAUAAAGUGCAGUAUGUAUACUGUUUUGUAUGUAUUAUAUGAAUAAGGAUCGGCUAACUCCGUGCCAGCAGCCGCGGUAAUACGGAGGAUCCGAGCGUUAUCCGGAUUUAUUGGGUUUAAAGGGAGCGUAGGUGGACUGGUAAGUCAGUUGUGAAAGUUUGCGGCUCAACCGUAAAAUUGCAGUUGAUACUGUCAGUCUUGAGUACAGUAGAGGUGGGCGGAAUUCGUGGUGUAGCGGUGAAAUGCUCAGAUAUCACGAAGAACUCCGAUUGCGAAGGCAGCUCACUGGACUGCAACUGACACUGAUGCUCGAAAGUGUGGGUAUCAAACAGG